Molecule: ribosomal RNA, 305 nt
Filed under: Procyrta pectoralis
Lineage: Eukaryota; Metazoa; Arthropoda; Insecta; Hemiptera; Membracidae
Description: partial 12S small subunit ribosomal RNA
Source: RNAcentral
UCAGGAGAAAAGUAGUUAUUAUCUUCAUAGCUUAAAGAAUUUGGCGGUUAGUUUUAUUUUUAGAGGAAUCUGAAUUUUAAUUGAUAAACCACGAUAGUUUAUACUUAAAUUUAUAUUUAUAUACCUCUAUUUUUGGAUUAUUUUUUUAGGAUAUUAUCUUUUGGUUUAUUCAUUUAUAUUAGGUCAAGGUGUAGUUUUAUUUAGGUAAAUUUGGAUUACUAUAUAUUUAAUUAUAAUAUGUUAAUCUUAUUUGAUUAUUUUUAGGAUUUGAUAGUAAUUUUAAUUAAUUAAUUAUUUUGAAUAUU